UAUUAAAUAGUCAAUUAUGAUUUUAAAUUGCAAGUUUAAAGGUUCUUUUAGAUUUAGUUA
Molecule: transfer RNA, 60 nt
Filed under: Curculionidae sp. BMNH 1040049
Lineage: Eukaryota; Metazoa; Arthropoda; Insecta; Coleoptera; Curculionidae
Description: tRNA-Cys
Source: RNAcentral